ACCACAACUCGUCCGUUUGGAAGCUGAAUUUCCUGUGUGCCCAGGCCUGUCUACCAAGGUCCUCAUGCCCAUGUAGCCUGGUUUGAAGACUGCAAAGGACACAAGGAAAAUGAUCCUGAGCUUGCGGUGAGAGAAGAGCAGGACACGUCGCUGUGAGAACUGAGAAUUGCCCAGAAUUCCCUUGUCGGCCGCACAGUCCUCAUCAUGUGCUGACACGGCAGAAGCAACAAGAGAAAACCUGCUGCAGAAAACAGGUGGAAGCUUGGAAUGAUACUGUACUUGAAGAUGAAUCCUUCGAAGAAAUCAAAUCUGCUGGGAACUUGACAUUGGACUUUGUAUCUCCAGAAGAAUGAAAAAUGAAUGUCUACUCUUCAAACUGUAAAGUCUAGUGUUUUGUUGUAGAGACCCCACCAAGCAAGUAUGGAAUGAGAACACUAGGCUGUGGAUCAUGGCUGCUUCUCUAGCCUGGGCCCUGGAAUGGAAUACAAGCUGUUGGGAACCAAGAGGAGAGUCAUUGAGACUGGACAAGUCAGGAUGAAUCCGGAGGAGCUCAAUCACACCUAGGUCUCUCACUAGGAAAUGGAGCUUGUGAUUAGGCCAGGCUGACCAGCAGGUGAGCUCCAGGGAUCAGCGUCUCCCACCUCUUC
Long non-coding RNA from Mus musculus (house mouse), 647 nucleotides. RefSeq annotates it as predicted gene, 41328. The record is from RefSeq and is a predicted model, not a curated record. Lineage: Eukaryota; Metazoa; Chordata; Mammalia; Rodentia; Muridae. The transcript is spliced from 5 exons.